RNAcentral lists this unclassified non-coding RNA (314 nucleotides) under plant metagenome. RNAcentral describes it as "partial contains 5.8S ribosomal RNA, internal transcribed spacer 2, and large subunit ribosomal RNA". The stretch from base 1 to 105 matches the Rfam family "5.8S ribosomal RNA", at positions 50 to 154 of the family's 154-position model. The record is from RNAcentral.
GAAAUGCGAUAAUUAAUGUGAAUUGCAGAAUUCAGUGAAUCAUCGAGUCUUUGAACGCACAUUGCGCCCCCUGGUAUUCCGGGGGGCAUGCCUGUCCGAGCGUCAUUGCUGCCCUCAAGCACGGCUUGUGUGUUGGGCUUCCGUCCCUGGCAACGGGGACGGGCCCAAAAGGCAGUGGCGGCACCAUGUCUGGUCCUCGAGCGUAUGGGGCUUUGUCACCCGCUCCCGUAGGUCCAGCUGGCAGCUAGCCUCGCAACCAAUCUUUUUAACCAGGUUGACCUCGGAGCAGGUAGGGAUACCCGCUGAACUUAAGC